Lolium rigidum is the source of this 900-nucleotide long non-coding RNA. RefSeq lists it as uncharacterized. Lineage: Eukaryota; Viridiplantae; Streptophyta; Magnoliopsida; Poales; Poaceae. The record is from RefSeq and is a predicted model, not a curated record. The transcript is spliced from 3 exons.
UGCUCAUGCUCUUCUUCCUUCUUUCUUAUAGCUGCCCUUUUGCCCCAGGCUGCUCGUCCAGGUCGCGUGUCUAGGAAGAUCGGCAGGGGCAUGCUACUAGAGGGCCGAGAUGGCGAGAUACAGGAGUCGCGCGACCCGGAGAAGGGACCUGGCAGGGACAAGGAGGUGUGGACCUGGAGAAGGGAUCUGGCCGGUCAGCCGAUUUGUCUUCUUCGCUGCCUACGACUACUAGCCUCUUUCUUGCAAAUGUUGUCAUCCUUUGUCUAGCAGGGUCAUAGGAGAAAGCUGAGGAUGUCGAGCCGAGGUGAGCCUCGCUGGUUUGCUGCUCAACGGGAGAAGCACGGUCACCCCUCCAGAGAGAAACGAGUACAUUGCGUCUAGGUGGUGACUUUGUUGCUGGGUUCUACCUUCACAACCUGAUAUCGGAGGUUCAUGUUAAGCUUUGGCGUUUGCAUAAAUUUUUUUAUUUCGAUGAUUUAUCAGCCUGGAAUAGAUAUGAUGCACAUUGAUGCAAUAAUUUGUGUGAUAUUUUGCAGUUUUGAAAUUUCAUUUGUAGCUCGGUUAUAGAAGUGUAUUCUCAGCACCUUUUACAGUAGAAUUAGUAUUAAGAAUAGCUUGGUUUGGUGCAAGCCACGUAAGGUUAGUUGAGAAGAUCAUGUAUAUUGUUGAUUCCCAAUCGAUUAUUGUACCCAUCCUUACACUAGAUUAUAUGCCUGAAGGUAGACGGUUGUCCAGAUACCUCUACUCUGAAUAAUUGCUUUAGAAAUGCAGUUCUUCACCUUUGCAUUAUCAUGCUUUGUCUCUUUUUGUGGAAGACUAUCUAAAAAAAUGUACCCACAAGCAUUCGCCAGACAUCUUUAGAAUUAUGGAGAGUUGUUAAUGGUGCCUCAUUUGGCUCAU